GCCCAGAUACACCAAGCGGCAGAGCGGUCCGGCUCAAACCCGGAUGUUCGCAGGUCCGAAUCCUGCUCUGGGUA
RNAcentral lists this transfer RNA (74 nucleotides) under Candidatus Anammoximicrobium sp. RNAcentral's name for it is "tRNA-Leu". It matches the Rfam family "tRNA". Rfam says of the family: Transfer RNA (tRNA) molecules are approximately 80 nucleotides in length. Their secondary structure includes four short double-helical elements and three loops (D, anti-codon, and T loops). The record is from RNAcentral. Lineage: Bacteria; Pseudomonadati; Planctomycetota; Planctomycetia; Pirellulales; Pirellulaceae.